Molecule: long non-coding RNA, 959 nt
Organism: Monomorium pharaonis (pharaoh ant)
Lineage: Eukaryota; Metazoa; Arthropoda; Insecta; Hymenoptera; Formicidae
Exons: 3
Source: RefSeq, a predicted model, not a curated record
UAGUUGAAAAGAAAUCGCGCGCUUAUUCAGACGUGUCACGACAUUAGUUUGUACUUGUUCUGAAUAAAGCUUUUUGGUUCGUUCAGAAAAGCGAAAAUGCUUUUUUUUCCUUUGCGGACACGCGAAGCAUUUUAAUUGCUCAUUCGGGAUCCUAUAGAACGCGCUCAACACGUGGUCCUUGUAGUGCGCGGUCUAGUGUAAGAGCUAUCACACACAAAAUGACAUAAGCUGCAUAACCUUUUGACAAUAUCUAUUGAAAUGAUCUAUAACAAAUAUGUAUGCAUAAACACGAAGUAUUCAUCACGAAGUGUUAUGUUGCGUACGAUCCUUGAAGUUAAGCAACGUUGACGGUGGCUGAUAGUUGGAUGGGUGAUCACUUUUCGGGCGCAGAAAUUAAACAUGUUCUAACAGAUACGACUGUAGCUUGAAACAUGUAGUCUUCUCUCCCUUACAAAAUUAUCGUAGAAAUUAAAUGAUGCUAGAUUGGUAUCCUCAUUGGAUUCUUCUACAUUUACAGUCAGAAGUGAAUAAAAUUUUGGAGGAAGUAAAAGCUCAAAAAGUUAUUGAGGAGUCAAAUAGUCUAUGGAUUUUCCUGACUGUUUUAAUUAAAAGAAGGACGGAACAAUAAGAUUUUGUGCGGAUUAUCGGAUAUUGUUACAAUAAAAGAUCCUUAUCCACUUCCGAGGAUUAACAAUAUUUUGAAUUGUUUACCGGAGAAUUCAUGGUUUUACACUCUCGAUUUGAAAAGUGGAUAUUGGCAGGUAAGCUUAGAUUCUAAAAGUUGAGAAAAAACUGCAUUUUUUAUUGGAAACAAUUUGUGGCAAUUAACAGUUAUGCCUUUCGUUCUUUGCAACGCUCCUGCGACUUUUGAACGUCUAAUUAGCUUUUUACUUUUCUUAUUCGCAUGUUUAUUUUUUGUACAAUAAUACAAAUAUAUUUAAAAAGAAAUAUCGAUGGAA